Long non-coding RNA from Lontra canadensis (Northern American river otter), 1249 nucleotides. RefSeq lists it as uncharacterized. The transcript is spliced from 3 exons. The record is from RefSeq and is a predicted model, not a curated record. NCBI's taxonomy places the organism in Eukaryota, Metazoa, Chordata, Mammalia, Carnivora, Mustelidae.
UCCUGGUACAGUUUCUGCAAAAAGUUGGCCCAUGAGAUUGGAGUUGGGAUGUGAGGCACUGGCUCAGUGAAAUAAAGAGAUGGUGUUCCUUGGAAUGGAGAUGGUCUAGAAAAUGAGAUACGAAUAUGCACUUCAUGAUUAUAAAAACAACUGUCAUCUGGAGCAGAGUGACAUUUCCAUGGGGCCGAACUACAGGAUGAACUUGAAGCUGGCUAAAGAAAGUACGGGGCUGAACAGAAAGGAUGAUGGAGUACACAGCUUGAGUGAGGCCUUCAUUGAAAUGUAUGUGUUCAGAGUUACAUCAAGCACUAUUUAGUUCUGCCUAAAGCCUUCCAUAGGCAACUGUGAGGAGAAGAGUGGGUCCGAAGAGAGAGAAGAGAGCACUCAAUAGUUCUUCCCUAGGUUUUCUCAAAUAUCAGGCAAGUCUCACAGAACACGUGACACUGUAUUAUCAAUGCUGACUUCACAUUAAGAAUACUUUAUGUGUGAACAUUUAAUGGACAGAGACAAAAAUGUCAUAUCUUCACAUCCAAUAGAAGGUGGCAAUUCAGUUCUGGCAAGGUCAUUUAUUAUUCCCUUUUGGGUAAUAUAUUAAGGAUAUUUGUUCCUUGAAAAAUUGAUCAAUCAUAACUCAACAUCCAUGUACUCUUAGUUGUUCAAGGAAAACUUUCCAGGAAAGAACAUUUCAAAGAAUUAACACUGGCAAAGCCAUAUUUUCCUUGUUCACUAUUCAAUUAGGAUGAAUGGAGUUGUACAUACACAAUACAUCCAUAGUUAUAAACUCCUAUUUCACCUUAUCAUAUCUUCCCAGACCCUUUUUGCGUAUCUAAAUUGUACAGUGUAUAUCUAAGUCUCUUAAAGCCAAACUCAAUAUAUAGUCCCCACAUAGAGCCUUCCUUGCCAAUUCCCAUCUUCACUAAUCUCUCUCUCUAGAGAUUAUUUAACCUUAAAAUAGAAUUAAAGAUUAAGGCAACAGAGCAGUAUGGUUUAUGAACUCAGGUAAUGGAUUUAGAUAGACUUGAGUAUGAACCGUUGUUCUGCUAUUUUCUUUAUGCUAUCAGUCAAAUUACUUAAUCCCCCCUUAGCCUCAAUUUUCUCUUUGUUAGAAUGAGAACAACAGCAAUCCUCAGGAAUGUUAUAUGAAUUGAAUGAGAUAUUUUCCAAUAUGCUCUGCAUGGUGCUUGACUAUAAACUCUCAAUAAAUAUAAGGUAUCUUUGGUAAUAGUGAAAAUAAUAUUACUAUUAGUCA